RNAcentral lists this transfer RNA (66 nucleotides) under Scolytinae sp. BMNH 1040146. RNAcentral describes it as "tRNA-Asp". The record is from RNAcentral. Lineage: Eukaryota; Metazoa; Arthropoda; Insecta; Coleoptera; Curculionidae.
AAAAAUUUAGUUAAACUUGCAUAACACUAACUUGUCAAGUUAGAAUUAUUUUAAAAAUAAUUUUUA